CAGGCUUAUGCACAUGCAAGUCGCGCGGGCACGGACAGCGGACCGUCCGUGCGAGCGGCAGACGGGUGAGUAACACGUGGGCAAUCUACCUCUUGAGUGGGGGAUAACUCGCCGAAAGGCGGGCUAAUACCGCAUAAGACCACAUCCCGGCAUCGGGAAGGGGUCAAAGGUUCGCAAGGACCGCUUAGAGAUGAGCCCGCGGCCUAUCAUGGUAGUUGGUGGGGUCACGGCCCACCAAGCCGACGACGGGUAGUCGACCUGAAAGGGUGACCGACCACACUGGGACUGCGACACGGCCCAGACUCCUACGGGAGGCAGCAGUGGGGAAUUUUGCACAAUGGGCGAAAGCCUGACGUAGCAACGCCGCGUGGAGGAUGAAGGCCUUCGGGUCGUAAACUCCUGUCAGGGGGGACGAAAUCCCGCGCAAGCGGGGCUGACUGUACCCUCUG
Molecule: ribosomal RNA, 449 nt
Filed under: uncultured bacterium
Lineage: Bacteria
Description: bacterial SSU rRNA
Rfam family: Bacterial small subunit ribosomal RNA
Source: RNAcentral